This 155-nucleotide ribosomal RNA is filed under the name Ganoderma ryvardenii. RNAcentral's name for it is "5.8S ribosomal RNA". It matches the Rfam family "5.8S ribosomal RNA". From Rfam's summary of the family: 5.8S ribosomal RNA (5.8S rRNA) is a component of the large subunit of the eukaryotic ribosome. It is transcribed by RNA polymerase I as part of the 45S precursor that also contains 18S and 28S rRNA. Functionally, it is thought that 5.8S rRNA may be involved in ribosome translocation. The record is from RNAcentral. Lineage: Eukaryota; Fungi; Basidiomycota; Agaricomycetes; Polyporales; Polyporaceae.
UAUAUACAACUUUCAGCAACGGAUCUCUUGGCUCUCGCAUCGAUGAAGAACGCAGCGAAAUGCGAUAAGUAAUGUGAAUUGCAGAAUUCAGUGAAUCAUCGAAUCUUUGAACGCACCUUGCGCUCCUUGGUAUUCCGAGGAGCAUGCCUGUUUGA